GGAGAGGUGGCAGAGUGGUCGAUUGCGUCUGACUUGAAAUCAGAUGAUGCAGCAAUGUAUCCGGAGGUUCGAAUCCUCUCCUCUCCG
Molecule: transfer RNA, 87 nt
Filed under: Acaryochloridaceae cyanobacterium RU_4_10
Lineage: Bacteria; Bacillati; Cyanobacteriota; Cyanophyceae; Acaryochloridales; Acaryochloridaceae
Also listed under: 1 other name
Description: tRNA-Ser
Rfam family: tRNA
About the family: Transfer RNA (tRNA) molecules are approximately 80 nucleotides in length. Their secondary structure includes four short double-helical elements and three loops (D, anti-codon, and T loops).
Source: RNAcentral